UGGCUCANGAUGAACGCUGGCGGCACGCUUUNNACAUGCAAGUCGAACGGANAUAANGGAGCUUGCUUCUUUAUCUUANUGGCGGACGGGUGAGUAACACGUGAGCAACCUACCUUCAAGCGGGGAAUAAUGGAGGGAAACUUCCACUAAUACCCCAUAAGAUAGUAUUUCCGCAUGGAGAAGCUAUCAAAGAUUUAUUGUUUGAAGAUGGGCUCGCGUCCGAUUAGCCAGUUGGUGAGGUAACGGCCCACCAAAGCGACGAUCGGUAGCCGUACUGANAGGUAGAACGGCCACAUUGGGACUGAGACACGGCCCAGACUCCUACNGGAGGCAGCANUGGGGAAU
Molecule: ribosomal RNA, 345 nt
Filed under: uncultured rumen bacterium
Lineage: Bacteria
Description: partial 16S ribosomal RNA
Rfam family: Bacterial small subunit ribosomal RNA
Source: RNAcentral